GUUGAGGGCAGGUUUAGGGGCAGUUUCACUUGUUGAGGGCAUUUUUUGGGCUUUUUUUACUUGGUGAGGGCAGGUUUGGGGGUAGUUUUACAAGAGGAUAUGAGGUUUUGGGCUACUUUUCACCCAGGGUGGUAGAUUUGGGGACAGUAUUCCUUGGUGAGGAAAGGUUUUGGGCUGUUUUUUGCCCAGGGCCGGUAGAUUUGGGGGUAAUUUUUCUCAUUGAGGGCAGGUUUGGGGGUAAUUUUUCUAGGUAAGUGUCAAUUAGGAGUGAAAUUUUGGCCCUUUUUUUUUUUUUUUUUUAUCCAGGGGAGGGCAGGUUUGAGGCAGUUUUACUUGGUAAGGGUAGAUUUGGGGGCAGUUUUACCCAGGGAGAGCAGGUUUAAGGGUACUUUUACUCGAAAAGGGCAGGUUUUGGGGUAGUUUUACUUGGUAAGGCUAGUUUAGGGGGCAGUUUUACCUGGGGAGGACAGGUUUUGGGCUGUUUUUUUUACCAGCUCCAUUAAGUUAUGUGAACUUGUUUGUGUUCUUUAUCUCAAAUUGUCAUGGUAAGUUUUGAAUGUUGAACUCAAGUUUAUAAGUUUUAGAAAAUUAAAGUUAAAGUAAUUAAUUGUCUUAACUAUUU
Amphiprion ocellaris (clown anemonefish) is the source of this 622-nucleotide long non-coding RNA. The record is from Ensembl. NCBI's taxonomy places the organism in Eukaryota, Metazoa, Chordata, Actinopteri, Pomacentridae.